UCCGGUUUGUCACCGGCAGUCUCCCUAGAGUUCCCGGCCGAACCGCUGGCAACUAAGGAUAGGGGUUGUGCUCGUUGCGGGACUUAACCCAACAUCUCACAACACGAGCUGACGACAGCCAUGCAGCAUCUGUGUGGCACCCUCGAAGGUCACACGUUUCCGUGCGCUUGCAGCCACAUGUCAAGCCCAGGUAAGGUUCUUCGCGUUGCAUCGAAUUAAGCCACAUGCUCCGCCGCUUGUGCGGGCCCCCGUCAAUUCCUUUGAGUUUUAGUCUUGCGACCGUACUCCCCAGGCGGAGUGCUUAAUGCGUUAGCUGCGGCACAGAGCGGGUUGAAGACCGCCCCACACCUAGCACUCAACGUUUACGGCUGGGACUAC
This 378-nucleotide unclassified non-coding RNA is filed under the name uncultured bacterium. RNAcentral describes it as "contains 16S-23S intergenic spacer region". The record is from RNAcentral.